UCAUUACUUGCUCAACAAAUUAGCACUACUCAGGAAGAAUUUGUUCCUCCAUGUCUGAAGUGCAUUGAGCGUGAAUCUGCUAAUUCUUUACCUGAAUGUUCAAAUGCUUCAAAUGUUACAAAUUCUUCACCUGUCUCUGCUAUCACUAAUUCCUCAUCUGAGGACAUUGCUAGUACCACUGAUGAUGCAGGGCUGAAGGAAUUGUACACGACAGGCAUGUACAAAAGCCUCAAAGGGCAUCAGAUUCUUUGUGAUGUGCUUAAAAAGAAGAUCCCCAAUAGGAACCCUAGGAAAGAGGGUAUUGCCUUUGAGAGGAAACUCAAUGCUGAUGGAACAUAUUGGAAGCCUGAGCAGUACCCCAAAACCUCAUGGGUUGCUCCA
Molecule: ribosomal RNA, 381 nt
Filed under: Triticum aestivum (bread wheat)
Lineage: Eukaryota; Viridiplantae; Streptophyta; Magnoliopsida; Poales; Poaceae
Description: partial small subunit ribosomal RNA
Source: RNAcentral